GAUGAACGCUGGCGGCGUGCUUAACACAUGCAAGUCGAACGAAGCAUUCGCGACAGAUUUUUUCGGAAUGAAGUUGCUUAUGACUGAGUGGCGGACGGGUGAGUAACGCGUGGGUAACCUGCCUUGUACUGGGGGAUAGCAGCUGGAAACGGCUGGUAAUGCCGCAUAAGCGCACAAUGUUGCAUUACGUGGUUGGAAAAAGUCCGGUGGUAUAAGAUGGACCCGGGUCUGUUUUGCUAGUUGGUGGUAUUACAGCCCACCCAGGCGACGAUGGGUAGCCGAGCGGAGAGGGUGACCGGCCAGAUUGGGAAUGAGACACGGCCCAGACUCCUACGGGAGGGAGCAGUGGGGAAUAUUGCACAAUGGAGGAAACUCUGAUGCCGCGACGCCGCGUGAGUGAGGAAGUGAUUCGUUAUGUAAAGCUCUAUCAGCAGGGAAGAUAGUGACGGUACCUGACUAAGAAGCACCGGCUAAAUACGUG
RNAcentral lists this ribosomal RNA (481 nucleotides) under uncultured bacterium. Its description in RNAcentral is "partial 16S ribosomal RNA". It matches the Rfam family "Bacterial small subunit ribosomal RNA", at positions 28 to 507 of the family's 1533-position model. The record is from RNAcentral.